Molecule: ribosomal RNA, 263 nt
Filed under: uncultured archaeon
Lineage: Archaea
Description: partial 16S ribosomal RNA
Rfam family: Archaeal small subunit ribosomal RNA
Source: RNAcentral
AGUCACUGACAUUAGAUACCCGCGUAGUCCCAGCCGUAAACUAUGCGCGUUAGGUGUAUCGGUGACCACGAGUUACCGAGGUGCCGAGGGAAACCGUGAAACGUGCCGCCUGGGAAGUACGGUCGCAAGGCUGAAACUUAAAGGAAUUGCGGGGAGCACCACAACAGGUGGAGCCUGCGGUUUAAUUGGACUCAACGCCGGGAAGCUCACCGGAUAGGACAGCAGAAUGAUUGCCGGGCUGAAGACUCUGCAUUGACUAGCUG